GCACUGCUGAUAAGUCCCAAACAGGACGAAACAGCUGUCCGGUGC
This 45-nucleotide non-coding RNA is filed under the name Echinostoma caproni. Lineage: Eukaryota; Metazoa; Platyhelminthes; Trematoda; Plagiorchiida; Echinostomatidae. The record is from RNAcentral.